Molecule: long non-coding RNA, 894 nt
Organism: Bubalus bubalis (water buffalo)
Lineage: Eukaryota; Metazoa; Chordata; Mammalia; Artiodactyla; Bovidae
Exons: 6
Source: RefSeq, a predicted model, not a curated record
CUCACUGUAUCUCUCUCUUUCUGUCUCUCUCUCUGUCUCUGUCUCACUCUGUCUGCCUCUCUCUCUCUCCCUGUCUCUCUCUCCCUCUGUCUUUCUCUUCUGAUCUGAGGAGGAGGAGGACUGUGCCCAGGAAAACAUUCACUUCUCAUUGGAGACACAGCAGAUGCUCCAUGCAGAUGCUGCUGUUGUCUCUGAUGCUGCAGCUGGUGUGGUGAUGGCGUCUCUGUGGGCAGAGCAGGUCUCAGGACCCAGUCCCUGUAACUACAGACUCAGGAGCCCCUGGUCCAUCCUGAGUAACUCUUACCUGCACAAAACUCUGGAGCAAAGAGCACGAGUCAGGGCAAUUAAUUCAGCCGGAUCUAGAGAGGAACAGAAGACACGAUGGAAGUGAGCUGCUGAAAGUCUUAGGUGCCUGACAGAAGGUUGCCCUCCCACAUGUCUCUACCAGUGCCCAUACCAGUUUGAAUUUUGCUGCUCCAAGGAAUUAUUUUGAGGAAGGAGAAAGACACCUUCUUGGACAUUGAGACAUCUUGGCCAGCAUCUGGAACACACUUUUCCUGGAAUAUGACCUGCCUUGGAGAACAGAUGAUAAAGCACAGCCCUUCCCCUCAAGCUACUAAUGAUUGACAGCAAUUGAAUAAAUGCCCUCUAAUCUGAAACCUCUGCCAGAUGGAAGAAGUGAACUAUGCCGCCCACAAGCAGGAAGACCUGAGACCGGCUGGAAGCACAAGGGUGAUGCUGCUGCUCCCCGAGACCUCAUCACAGACCCAACAGAAGAGUGUCCUCAAGUUGAUCAGGCUCUGCUCCUUGAACAAUAUAAGACUCCUCAAACCCCUCCACCACCAGACACACGGCCUUUUAUUUAUUUUAAUAUUUUAUUUAUUUAUCUAUUUA